This is a small nucleolar RNA of Callithrix jacchus (white-tufted-ear marmoset), 103 nucleotides long. The record is from Ensembl. Lineage: Eukaryota; Metazoa; Chordata; Mammalia; Primates; Cebidae.
AUCCUUUCGUAGUUCCUAAAUGUGAUGUCUGAUGUUGAUGCAUAUGUGUGGGAUAUGCCACCCUUGAGCCUUGCUAUGACAUUAGCAUGUUAACCAUCUGACA